Long non-coding RNA from Oncorhynchus keta (chum salmon), 745 nucleotides. RefSeq lists it as uncharacterized. The record is from RefSeq and is a predicted model, not a curated record. NCBI's taxonomy places the organism in Eukaryota, Metazoa, Chordata, Actinopteri, Salmoniformes, Salmonidae. The transcript has 4 exons.
GGAGAAUAGAUGAUAGGUAACACUAGAAUAGCAUUAGUCUACCAUCUGUGGAGAAUAGAUGAUAGGUAACACUAGAAUAGCAUUAGUCUACCAUCUGUGGAGAAUAGAUGAUAGGUAACACUAGAAUAGCAUUAGUCUACCAUCUGUGGAGAAUAGAUGAUAGGUAACACUAGAAUAGCAUUAGUCUACCAUCUGUGGAGAAUAGAUGAUAGGUAACACUAGAAUAGCAUUAGCCUACCAUCUGUGGAGAAUAGAUGAUAGAUAACACUAGAAUAGCAUUAGUCUACCAUCUGUGGAGAAUAGAUGAUAGGUCACACUAGAAUAGCAUUAGCCUACCAUCUGUGGAGAAUAGAUGAUAGGUAACACUAGAAUAGCAUUAGUCUACCAUCUGUGGAGAAUAGAUGAUAGGUAACACUAGAAUAGCAUUAGUCUACCAUCUGUGGAGAAUAGAUGAUAGGUAACACUAGAAUAGCAUUAGCCUACCAUCUGUGGAGAAUAGAUGAUAGAUAACACUAGAAUAGCAUUAGUCUACCAUCUGUGGAGAAUAGAUGAUAGAUAACACUAGAAUAGCAUUAGUCUACCAUCUGUGGAGAAUAGAUGAUAGAUAACACUAGAAUAGCAUUAGUCUACCAUCUGUGGAGAAUAGAUGAUAGAUAACACUAGAAUAGCAUUAGUCUACCAUCUGAGGAGAAUAGAUGAUAGGUAACACUAGAAUAGCAUUAGUCUACCAUCUGUGGAGAAUAGA